ACAUGUGGUUAUACUAGCCUGAUGAUGCCCAAUCUCCUCUGAUCUCAGAAGAUUGACAGGGUCGGGCAUGGUUUGUCCUUGCAUGGGAGAUUGCCUGGUAAUACCAGAUGAUGUAGGUU
RNAcentral lists this ribosomal RNA (119 nucleotides) under Dasypus novemcinctus (nine-banded armadillo). Lineage: Eukaryota; Metazoa; Chordata; Mammalia; Cingulata; Dasypodidae. The record is from RNAcentral.